RNAcentral lists this ribosomal RNA (305 nucleotides) under uncultured bacterium. RNAcentral's name for it is "bacterial SSU rRNA". It matches the Rfam family "Bacterial small subunit ribosomal RNA", at positions 335 to 659 of the family's 1533-position model. The record is from RNAcentral.
GUCCUACGGGAGGCAGCAGUGAGGGAUAUUGGUCAAUGGGGGAAACCCUGAACCAGCAACGCCGCGUGAGGGAAGACGGUUUUCGGAUUGUAAACCUCUGUCCUCUGUGAAGAUAAUGACGGUAGCAGAGGAGGAAGCUCCGGCUAACUACGUGCCAGCAGCCGCGGUAAUACGUAGGGAGCGAGCGUUGUCCGGAUUUACUGGGUGCAAAGGGAGCGUAGGCGGGAUGGCAAGUUGGGUGUUAAAUCUACCGGCUCAACUGGUAGUCGCACUCAAAACUGCUAUUCUUGAGUGAAGUAGAGGCA